UCUUGAGUGCGAAAGGCUGGGUAUGUUUUAUAGAUUCCCACCAGUAAUCUGUCUCUUCACGAAUCAUAAAGGUAGUGAAGGGAACCUUUUACUCCUCUAGGCAUCCAUGACAUCAAAUAUCUUGGUGAUCUGCUUAAUCCAUGCCUCAGCCUUAAGUGGUUCUGGCUUUCCCAAAAACUCUGGCGGUCCCAGCUCCUUGAACUGUUUAGCAGUGACCAGCCGUGAGUUGCCAUUG
RNAcentral lists this long non-coding RNA (235 nucleotides) under Panax ginseng (ginseng). RNAcentral describes it as "long non-coding RNA (PGIN_LNC010790)". The record is from RNAcentral. Lineage: Eukaryota; Viridiplantae; Streptophyta; Magnoliopsida; Apiales; Araliaceae.